RNAcentral lists this long non-coding RNA (963 nucleotides) under Homo sapiens (human). Its description in RNAcentral is "long independently transcribed non-coding RNA 2577, transcript variant 2 (LINC02577)". Lineage: Eukaryota; Metazoa; Chordata; Mammalia; Primates; Hominidae. The record is from RNAcentral.
AGUGUAUAAUGAGCAGUGAGACGACUGGAGGUCACUUUCAUCGCCAUCUUGGUUUUGGUGGGUUUUGGACAGCUUCUUUACGCAUGCUGUUUUAUCAGCAAGGUCUUUGUGACCUGUAUCUUGUGCCGACCUCCUAUCUCAUCCUGUGACUAGGAAUGCCUUAACCUCCUGGAAUGCAGCUCAAGUCUUGCUGUGUUGCCCAGGCCAGAGUGCAAUGGCAUGAUCUCAGCUAACUGCAACCUCCACUUCCUGAGUUCAAGUGAUUCUCGUGCCUCAGCCUCCUGAGAAGCUGAGAUUACAGACGCAUGUAACAUUUGGUGCUGAAACCCAAGACAGGGGACUCCUUCAGAAGACCAGCCCCCUGUCCUCACCCUCAGUCCGGGAGGAGAUCCACCUACGACCUCGGGUCCUCAGACCAGCCCAAGGAACAUCUCACCAAUUUCAAAUUGGAUCUCCUCGGCUUAGUGGCUAAAGACUGACGCUGCCAAAUCAUCUCGGAAGCCCCCUGGACCAUCACGGAUGCCGAGCUUCGGAUAACUCCUACAGUGGAGGAAGACAGGAAUGUCAGGCCUGUGAGCCCAAAGUAAGCCAUCAUAACCCCUGUGACCUGCAUGUAUACGUCCAGAUGGCCUGGAGCAACUGAAGAACCACAAAAGAAGUGAAACAGCCAGUUCCUGCCUUAACUGAUGACAUUCCACCAUUGUGAUUUGUUCCUGCCCCACCCUAACUAAUCAAUCGACCUUGUGACAUUCCUCCCCUGGACAAUGAGUCUCAUGAUCUCCCCACCCUGCACCUUGUGUCCCCCAUCCCUGCCUGUAAGAGAUAACCACCUUUAACUGUAAUUUUCCACUACCUACCCAAAUCCUAUAAAACUGCCCCACCCCUAUUUCCCUUUGCUGACUCCUUUUUCGGACUCAGCCCACCUGCACCCAAGUGAAUAAACAGCCUCAUUGCUCACACAGA